UACAGAGGGGGCAAGCGUUAUUCGGAAUUAUUGGGCGUAAAGGGCGCGUAGGCGGCCUGACAAGUGGAUGGUGAAAUCCCUCGGCUUAACCGAGGAACUGCCAUCCAGACUGUUUGGCUUGAGACCGGGAGAGGUGAGUGGAAUUUCCAGUGUAGCGGUGAAAUGCGUAGAUAUUGGGAGGAACACCAGUGGCGAAGGCGGCUCACUGGACCGGUACUGACGCUGAUGCGCGAAAGCGUGGGGAGCAAACGGG
Molecule: ribosomal RNA, 253 nt
Filed under: uncultured bacterium
Lineage: Bacteria
Description: partial 16S ribosomal RNA
Rfam family: Bacterial small subunit ribosomal RNA
Source: RNAcentral